UGAGAUUCUCGACACGAACGGCG
Molecule: non-coding RNA, 23 nt
Filed under: Cricetulus griseus (Chinese hamster)
Lineage: Eukaryota; Metazoa; Chordata; Mammalia; Rodentia; Cricetidae
Source: RNAcentral